RNAcentral lists this ribosomal RNA (498 nucleotides) under uncultured bacterium. Its description in RNAcentral is "partial 16S ribosomal RNA". It matches the Rfam family "Bacterial small subunit ribosomal RNA", at positions 30 to 523 of the family's 1533-position model. The record is from RNAcentral.
AUUGAACGCUGGCGGCAUGCCUUACACAUGCAAGUCGAACGGUAACAGGUCUUCGGAUGCUGACGAGUGGCGAACGGGUGAGUAAUACAUCGGAACGUGCCUAGUAGUGGGGGAUAACUACUCGAAAGAGUGGCUAAUACCGCAUGAGAUCUACGGAUGAAAGCAGGGGAUCGCAAGACCUUGUGCUACUAAAGCGGCCGAUGGCAGAUGAGGUAGUUGGUGGGAUAAAAGCUUACCAAGCCGACGAUCUGUAGCUGGUCUGAGAGGACGAUCAGCCAGAAUGGGACUGAGACACGGCCCAGACUCCUACGGGAAGAAGCAGUGGGGAAUUUUGGUAAAUGGGCGAAAGCCUGAUCCAGCAAUGCCGCGUGCAGGAUGAAGGCCUUCGGGUUGUAAACUGCUUUUGUACGGAACGAAAAGCCCCGGGUUAAUACCCUGGGGUCAUGACGGUACCGUAAGAAUAAGCACCGGCUAACUACGUGCCAGCCGCCGCAGUAA